AAAAAAAAAGCAAAACCCUAGAUCCUAUUUUGAUUUGUGCUUGUCUCUUGUUCUAAAAGCUAAAGCUAAUCUUGACAUCUUGUCUCCAUUUACUCUAUGACUGCUUGUGCAAUGCUAUUUUCCAAUUCCUCCAAGGAUUAUGUCAAGUGAAGAACUGGGCAGUGGGCAAGCACUUCCAUUUGAUCUCAAAGAUAAAAUUAUCAAAAGUUGCAGAAGAACUGAAUAAUGAAGUUGGCCGAGUAUUAUCCAAGUGAGAUUGAUGACAACAAGCUUCGAGAUCUUAGCUUUCAGUUGAUAGUUUUAUUGUCUAUGCUUGAAUGUCUCAUAGCAAAUUUAUCAACUUGAAGGGAAUGAAGGAUCUUGCUAUAGUGAUGGCAGAGACGAAAUUGGAUCAAACUUGGUGUUAUAUUUAUUUACUUGUGAAGUUGACUUUAAUUCUACCUGUUGCUACUGCAAGCGUGGAAAGGGCAUUCUCCUUAAUGAAGCUCAUAAAAAGUGAUCUACAUAAUAGCAUUAGUGAAGAGUUUUUGAAUGCUUGUUUAGUUGCAAUAUAGAGCGUAAUUUAUUUGCAACUGUAAGUAAUGAUGCUAUUAUUGAUCGUUUUCAAAGUAUGAAAACUCGUCGAGUACAAUUGUAAACUG
This is a non-coding RNA of Nicotiana tabacum (common tobacco), 641 nucleotides long. Lineage: Eukaryota; Viridiplantae; Streptophyta; Magnoliopsida; Solanales; Solanaceae. The record is from RefSeq and is a predicted model, not a curated record.